GCUUGCCUUUUCAUUAUUGCACUUAUUUUUAAUGGAGUGAUGUGAUGGAGCUAUAAAGGAGCUUCUUUAGGGGCUACUGGCCAAAGUUGGGGGUGGAAGCCGACGUCAAGGUCGGAGGCCGAGGUGAGCUCAGACGCACACAGAAAACACAGACAUCCGAGGGCCGAAGCUGGACACGCGGAUGCAUCCUCUCCUUUUCUUCCUCUCCUGCCAUCUUUUCUCUCUCCAACCUCAUCUACUUUUUUUUUGUCUUUGCUCAUGAUGGGACA
Molecule: long non-coding RNA, 269 nt
Filed under: Elaeis guineensis (African oil palm)
Lineage: Eukaryota; Viridiplantae; Streptophyta; Magnoliopsida; Arecales; Arecaceae
Description: long non-coding RNA (EGUI_LNC020848)
Source: RNAcentral